UAGUAUCUUACCAUUAAAGCAUCAACUCACUGGAGCACUUUGUAGUUACUAACAAGUUCAAGCAUGUGAUCUGGCUUCCUCUCUCUAUCCCAGAUACUUCACGGGACAGCCCGAGCCCACCUGUGGAGCAGGGUGGUGUCUUGUAUCUAGGGAUCAGUAGCUCAGUGUGGGUGGUGAGAAAUACACCAGGUCUUCUCACUCCUGGUCUGAUUAAAAUCCCAAGAAUCAGAAGGGUGAGGGAAAGUAAUUAACUUUAUUAGAUGG
Molecule: long non-coding RNA, 264 nt
Organism: Perognathus longimembris pacificus (Pacific pocket mouse)
Lineage: Eukaryota; Metazoa; Chordata; Mammalia; Rodentia; Heteromyidae
Exons: 2
Source: RefSeq, a predicted model, not a curated record